RNAcentral lists this transfer RNA (90 nucleotides) under Candidatus Tagabacteria bacterium CG03_land_8_20_14_0_80_41_22. RNAcentral describes it as "tRNA-Ser". It matches the Rfam family "tRNA". From Rfam's summary of the family: Transfer RNA (tRNA) molecules are approximately 80 nucleotides in length. Their secondary structure includes four short double-helical elements and three loops (D, anti-codon, and T loops). Further hydrogen bonds mediate the characteristic L-shaped molecular structure. tRNAs have two regions of fundamental functional importance: the anti-codon, which is responsible for specific mRNA codon recognition, and the 3' end, to which the tRNAs corresponding amino acid is attached (by aminoacyl-tRNA synthetases). tRNAs cope with the degeneracy of the genetic code in two manners: having more than one tRNA (with a specific anti-codon) for a particular amino acid; and 'wobble' base-pairing, i.e. permitting non-standard base-pairing at the 3rd anti-codon position. The record is from RNAcentral. RNAcentral also lists the same sequence under 1 other name. Lineage: Bacteria; Candidatus Tagaibacteriota.
GGUGAGGUGGCCGAGUGGUUUAAGGCGGCGGUCUUGAAAACCGCUAUACCAGAAAUGGUAUCGUGAGUUCGAAUCUCACCCUCACCGCCA